RNAcentral lists this ribosomal RNA (931 nucleotides) under uncultured bacterium. RNAcentral describes it as "bacterial SSU rRNA". It matches the Rfam family "Bacterial small subunit ribosomal RNA", at positions 56 to 1030 of the family's 1533-position model. The record is from RNAcentral.
UGCAAGUCGAACGAAGUAGCAAUACUUAGUGGCAGACGGGUGAGUAACAUGUAGGUAUCUACCCUUUGGCCUGGAAUAACACGAGGAAACUUGUGCUAAUACCGGAUAAGUCCUUACGGAGAAAGCUUUAUGCACCAUUGGAUGAGCCUGCACUUGAUUAGUUUGUUGGUGGGGUAAUGGCCUACCAAGACUUUGAUCAAUAGCUGAUUUGAGAGGAUGAUCAGCCACAUUGGGACUGAGACACGGCCCAAACUCCUACGGGAGGCAGCAGUGGGGAAUCUUGCACGAUGGAGGAAACUCUGAUGCAGCGAUGCCGCGUGAGUGAAGAAGGCCCUUGGGUUGCAAAGCUCUUUCGUCGGGGAAGAAAAUGACUGUACCCGAAUAAGAAGGUCCGGCUAACUUCGUGCCAGCAGCCGCGGUAAUACGAAAGGACCUAGCGUAGUUCGGAAUUACUGGGCUUAAAGAGUUCGUAGGUGGUUGAAAAAGUUGGUGGUGAAAUCCCAGAGCUUAACUCUGGAACUGCCAUCAAAACUUUUCAGCUAGAGUUUGAUAGAGGAAAGCAGAAUUUCUAGUGUAGAGGUGAAAUUCGUAGAUAUUAGAAAGAAUACCAAUUGCGAAGGCAGCUUUCUGGAUCAUUACUGACACUGAGGAACGAAAGCAUGGGUAGCGAAGAGGAUUAGAUACCCUCGUAGUCCAUGCCGUAAACGAUGUGUGUUAGACGUUGGAAAUUUAUUUUCAGUGUCGCAGCGAAAGCGAUAAACACACCGCCUGGGGAGUACGACCGCAAGGUUAAAACUCAAAUGAAUUGACGGGGACCCGCACAAGUAGUGGAGCAUGUGGUUUAAUUCGAAGAUACGCGCAGAANCNUUNCCAACACUUGACAUGUUCGUCGCGACUUUAANAGAUUAAAGUUUUCGGUUCGGCCGGACNA